RNAcentral lists this long non-coding RNA (252 nucleotides) under Gossypium barbadense (sea-island cotton). Its description in RNAcentral is "long non-coding RNA (GBAR_LNC022692)". Lineage: Eukaryota; Viridiplantae; Streptophyta; Magnoliopsida; Malvales; Malvaceae. The record is from RNAcentral.
UUGGGGGUCAUUAUGUGCCUUAGCAGUCAGUCAAAUAUAAGGGAUUUGCAGGAAUUCUUGGCAACUCCAACGAUAGGUGUUAUUGGCACUGCAAAGUAUUCGGUGUUCUUUUUAAAGAAAAAAUUCAGCCUAGAAUUGGGGUUACCAAGUACAAAAGUAGAACAGGAACGUAUUAGCACCUAGUGAAAUUUUCUUCGGUGUGAGGUGGUGUGAAUACCAAUGGUAGCCAAAAGGGGAGGAAGUUAAAUAGAG